This is a small nuclear RNA of Gorilla gorilla gorilla (western lowland gorilla), 195 nucleotides long. It matches the Rfam family "U2 spliceosomal RNA". Rfam says of the family: U2 is a small nuclear RNA (snRNA) component of the spliceosome (involved in pre-mRNA splicing). Complementary binding between U2 snRNA (in an area lying towards the 5' end but 3' to hairpin I) and the branchpoint sequence (BPS) of the intron results the bulging out of an unpaired adenosine, on the BPS, which initiates a nucleophilic attack at the intronic 5' splice site, thus starting the first of two transesterification reactions that mediate splicing. NCBI's taxonomy places the organism in Eukaryota, Metazoa, Chordata, Mammalia, Primates, Hominidae. The record is from Rfam.
AUCGCUUCUCGGCCUUUUGGCUAAGAUCAAGUGUAGGAUCUCUAAGGGCCAAUAGUGGCAGUUGCAAACUUGGAAAUUCUAUCGUGGCCCUUAAAAAUUACUUAGAUAGUAAAUAAAAGGGGCCCUAUCAAUAGGGCCCAGGGAAUCUCACUAUUAACAGUUCUUCAUUCAGAAAAGUGUUUGCUUCCCCUACAU